RNAcentral lists this ribosomal RNA (700 nucleotides) under uncultured bacterium. Its description in RNAcentral is "bacterial SSU rRNA". It matches the Rfam family "Bacterial small subunit ribosomal RNA", at positions 94 to 801 of the family's 1533-position model. The record is from RNAcentral.
AGUGGCGAAAGGGGCAGUAAGGCGUGGGUAACCUACCCUGGGGACCGGGAUAGCCUCUCUAACGGGAGGGUAAUACCGGGCGAGGUAGCUGAGGCGCAUGUUUCGGUUACGAAAUGAGUUUCGCCUUGGGAGGGGCUCACGUGGUAUUAGCUAGUUGGUGGGGUAACGGCCCACCAAGGCCAAGAUGCCUAGCAGGUGUGAGAGCACGACCUGCGCCACUGGCACUGAGACACUGGCCAGACUCCUACGGGAGGCUGCAGUCGAGGAUCUUCGGCAAUGGGCGCAAGCCUGACCGAGCGACGCCGCGUGUGCGAUGAAGGCCUUCGGGUUGUAAAGCACUGUCGAGGGGGAGGAAGACCCGCAAGGGUUUGACCUAUCCCUGGAGGAAGCACGGGCUAAGUUCGUGCCAGCAGCCGCGGUAAGACGAACCGUGCGAACGUUGUUCGGAUUCACUGGGCUUAAAGGGCGCGUAGGCGGCUUGCCAAGUCAGGGGUGAAAUCUUUCGGCUCAACCGGAAAAUUGCUUUUGAUACUGGCAAGCUGGAGGGAGGUAGGGGCAGAUGGAACUUCCGGUGGAGCGGUGAAAUGCGUAGAUAUCGGAAGGAACGCCGGUGGCGAAAGCGAUCUGCUGGAUCUUCACUGACGCUGAAGCGCGAAAGCCAGGGGAGCAAACGGGAUUAGAUACCCCGGUAGUCCUGGCC